CCCAGACUCCUACGGGAGGCAGCAGUGGGGAAUAUUGCACAAUGGGGGAAACCCUGAUGCAGCGACGCCGCGUGAGUGAAGAAGUAUUUCGGUAUGUAAAGCUCUCUCAGCAGGGAAGAAAAUGACGGUACCUGACUAAGAAGCCCCGGCUAACUACGUGCCAGCAGCCGCGGUAAUACGUAGGGGGCAAGCGUUAUCCGGAUUUACUGGGUGUAAAGGGGGCGCAGACGGCGAUGCAAGCCAGGAGUGAAAGCCCGGGGCCCAACCCCGGGACUGCUCUUGGAACUGUGCGGCUAGAGUGCGGGAGGGGCAGGCGGAAUUCCUGGUGUAGCGGUGAAAUGCAUAGAUAUCACGCAGAACUCCGAUUGCGAAGGCAGCGUACCGGCGCCCAACUGACGCUGAAGCACGAAGGCGUGGGUAUCGAACAGGAUUAGAUACCCCCGUACUG
This 448-nucleotide ribosomal RNA is filed under the name uncultured bacterium. RNAcentral's name for it is "partial 16S ribosomal RNA". It matches the Rfam family "Bacterial small subunit ribosomal RNA", at positions 330 to 793 of the family's 1533-position model. The record is from RNAcentral.